GCCAGACUCCUACGGGAGGCAGCAGUGGGGGAUAUUGCACAAUGGGGGGAACCCUGAUGCAGCGACGCCGCGUGGGUGAAGGAGCGUUUCGGCGCGUAAAGCCCUCUCGGCAGGGAAGAAGGAGGACGGUACCUGACUAAGAAGCCCCGGCUAACUACGUGCCAGCAGCCGCGGUAAUACGUAGGGGGCCAGCGUUAUCCGGAUGUACUGGGGGUAAUGGGGGCGCAGACGGCAGCGCAAGCCAGGAGUGAAAGCCCGGGGCCCAACCCCGGGACUGCUCUUGGAACUGCGCGGCUGGAGUGCAGGAGGGGCAGGCGGAAUUCCUGGUGUAGCGGUGAAAUGCGUAGAUAUCAGGAGGAACACCGGUGGCGAAGGCGGCCUGCUGGACUGCGACUGACGUUGAGGCCCGAAAGCGUGGGGAGCAAACAGGAUUAGAUACCCGUGUA
RNAcentral lists this ribosomal RNA (446 nucleotides) under uncultured bacterium. RNAcentral's name for it is "partial 16S ribosomal RNA". It matches the Rfam family "Bacterial small subunit ribosomal RNA", at positions 330 to 792 of the family's 1533-position model. The record is from RNAcentral.